Molecule: ribosomal RNA, 406 nt
Filed under: uncultured bacterium
Lineage: Bacteria
Description: partial 16S ribosomal RNA
Rfam family: Bacterial small subunit ribosomal RNA
Source: RNAcentral
AUUGAACGCUGGCGGCAGGCCUAACACAUGCAAGUCGAACGAGUGGCGGACGGGUGAGUAAUGUCUGGGAAACUGCCUGAUGGAGGGGGAUAACUACUGGAAACGGUAGCUAAUAACGCAUACCAUCGGAUGUGCACAAGUUGGAUUAGCUAGUAGGUGGGGUAAAGGCUCACCUAGGCGACGAUCCCUAGCUGGUCUGAGAGGAUGACCAGCCACACUGGGACUGAGACACGGCCCAGACUCCUACGGGAGGCAGCAGUGGGGAAUAUUGCACAAUGGACGAAAGCCUGAUGCAGCCAUGCCGCGUGUAUGAAGAAGGUUUUCGGGUUGUAAAGUACUUUCAGUGGGGAGGCGGUACCCGAAGAAGAAGCAACGGCUAACUCCGUGCCAGCAGCCGCGGUAAUAC